RNAcentral lists this ribosomal RNA (311 nucleotides) under uncultured soil bacterium. Its description in RNAcentral is "bacterial SSU rRNA". It matches the Rfam family "Bacterial small subunit ribosomal RNA", at positions 26 to 360 of the family's 1533-position model. The record is from RNAcentral.
AGAACGAACGCUGGCGGCAUGCCUAAUACAUGCAAGUCGAACGAACACUUCGGUGUUAGUGGCGCACGGGUGCGUAACGCGUGGGAAUCUGCCCUUGGGUUCGGAAUAACAGUUGGAAACGACUGCUAAUACCGGAUGAUAUCGAAAGAUCAAAGAUUUAUCGCCCAGGGAUGACGCCCGCGUAGGAUUAGCUAGUUGGUGAGGUAAAGGCUCACCGAAGGCGACGAUCCUUAGCUGGUCUGAGAGGAUGAUCAGCCACACGUGGACUGAGACACGGCCCAGACCUCCGUACGGGAGCAGCGAAGUAGGAA